UAUCUCUGUAGAGUCUGCAUAUCAAUAAGCGGAGGAAAAGAAACUAACUAGGAUUCCCUCAGUAACGGCGAGUGAAGCGGGAAGAGCUCAAAUUUGAAAUCUUCAAGGUUUUACCUUGACGAAUUGUAGUUUAAAGAAGUGUUUUCUGUUGGAAUUUUGGUAAAAGUUCUUUGGAAAAAGACAUCAAAGAGGGUGAGAAUCCCGUAUUUGACCAUUAUUUCCAGCUUUGUGAUACACUUUCAAAGAGUCGGAUUGUUUGGGAAUGCAGUCCAAAAUGGGUGGUAAAUUUCAUCUAAAGCUAAAUACUGGCGAGAGACCGAUAGCGAACAAGUACCGUGAGGGAAAGAUGAAAAGAACUUUGAAAAGAGAGUUAAACAGUACGUGAAAUUGUCAAAAGGGAAGCGUUUGACACCAGUGUUGUUUUCUCGAAAAUCAAUUAAAAAAGAUUGGAUUUUGUGUUGUAUUGACUUUAUCAGCUUUCUGCACUCUUUUCUUGUCUUUUUUAAUGCACUUUUCGUUUAACAAGUCAACAUCAAUUUCUUUUGUUGUAAAAGGGUCAUUGGAAGGUGGCUUUCUUUUCGGAGAAAGUGUUUAUAGCCUUUGACCUCUGCAAUCGGAGAGAUUGAGGUCUGCAGCGUAGAUCCUUCGGGGUUAGAUGCAUUUGUGCUAAGUUAUAGCCUUUCAUAGACAACUUGUUGACUAUGAUCAGUCAUGUAGCUUACUCGCUUAUGUCAUUUUACCUACGCUUAGGAUGUUGAACGCGCACAGAGUCU
This 773-nucleotide ribosomal RNA is filed under the name uncultured Neocallimastigales. RNAcentral describes it as "partial large subunit ribosomal RNA". It matches the Rfam family "Eukaryotic large subunit ribosomal RNA", at positions 24 to 642 of the family's 3401-position model. Lineage: Eukaryota; Fungi; Neocallimastigomycota; Neocallimastigomycetes; Neocallimastigales. The record is from RNAcentral.